Molecule: transfer RNA, 89 nt
Filed under: Rhodotorula toruloides
Lineage: Eukaryota; Fungi; Basidiomycota; Microbotryomycetes; Sporidiobolales; Sporidiobolaceae
Also listed under: 1 other name
Description: Rhodosporidium toruloides tRNA
Rfam family: tRNA
About the family: Transfer RNA (tRNA) molecules are approximately 80 nucleotides in length. Their secondary structure includes four short double-helical elements and three loops (D, anti-codon, and T loops).
Source: Rfam by way of RNAcentral
GUUCGGGUGACCCAGUGGUUAAGGUGUCACGCUUACAUUCUCAGUGUUUGUAUCCGUGAAAAUCGUGGGUUCAAACCCCACCCUGAACA